GCCGAGAUAGCUCAGUUGGUAGAGCACAGGUCUGAAAAACCUGGUGUCCCGAGUUCGAUUCUCGGUCUCGGCA
This is a transfer RNA of 73 nucleotides. It matches the Rfam family "tRNA". Rfam says of the family: Transfer RNA (tRNA) molecules are approximately 80 nucleotides in length. Their secondary structure includes four short double-helical elements and three loops (D, anti-codon, and T loops). Further hydrogen bonds mediate the characteristic L-shaped molecular structure. tRNAs have two regions of fundamental functional importance: the anti-codon, which is responsible for specific mRNA codon recognition, and the 3' end, to which the tRNAs corresponding amino acid is attached (by aminoacyl-tRNA synthetases). tRNAs cope with the degeneracy of the genetic code in two manners: having more than one tRNA (with a specific anti-codon) for a particular amino acid; and 'wobble' base-pairing, i.e. permitting non-standard base-pairing at the 3rd anti-codon position.